GAUGAACGCUGGCGGCGUGCCUAAUACAUGCAAGUCGAGCGAACAGACGAGGAGCUUGCUCCUCUGACGUUAGCGGCGGACGGGUGAGUAACACGUGGAUAGCCUACCUAUAAGACUGGGAUAACUUCGGGAAACCGGAGCUAAUACCGGAUAACAUGUUGAACCGCAUGGUUUAACAGUGAAAGACGGUCUUGCUGUCACUUAUAGAUGGAUCCGCGCCGCAUUAGCUAGUUGGUAAGGUAACGGCUUACCAAGGCAACGAUGCGUAGCCGACCUGAGAGGGUGAUCGGCCACACUGGAACUGAGACACGGGCCAGACUCCUACGGGAGGCAGCAGUAGGGAAGCUUCCGCAAUGGGCGAAAGCCUGACGGAGCAACGCCGCGGGAGUGAAGAAGGGCUUCGGAUCGUAAAACUCUGUUAUGAGGGAAGAACAAAUGUGUAAGUAACUAUGCACGUCUUGACGGUACCUAAUCAGAAAGCCACGGCUAACUACGU
Molecule: ribosomal RNA, 496 nt
Filed under: uncultured bacterium
Lineage: Bacteria
Description: partial 16S ribosomal RNA
Rfam family: Bacterial small subunit ribosomal RNA
Source: RNAcentral